AUCUGGUUUUGGCACAGUUCAACACAGGAAUUUCUCAGUGCAAGAUUUGAUCUUUACCAUGAAUUCUUAACCUUUCUAGUUCCUCAGCUCCUUAAGUUGACCUCUAUCUUAUCUGAGUGCGGGACCUUUGAGAGCUAAUAUUACUUUCAAAUUUAGAUGAGCUAUCCCUUAAAGUACAAUUUUUUUUGUUGUGGUGGUUAUACACAAUGCUUUCUGUAGGCCGUUAUUGCUUGUUUAAUUUUCUAUGGAAACGAUCUGCAUGCAAACAGAGUUCUGUUCCUUACCUCUGCUCCCGCUGCUUCUCCCAGGGGGCCCACCGGAGCUGGCGGCCAGUUGCUGUGGAUUCACCAGGACACCGUGGUGGAGGAGAGAUACCUCCCGGGGUUUGAUGUUCUGAGUCUGGGCAGGAGGAUAAUGCUCUUGUCACAUGGAAAACGUGUUGAAAAUUCAGCAGUUCCUGAAAUUUGAGCAAAUUUUAGUUAUCCAGUGAAGGCUUGAAAAACAAAGACUGAUCGAGGUCAGGCAUCUCGACGCGCUGUCUGUGGAUCCU
Molecule: long non-coding RNA, 550 nt
Filed under: Bos taurus (domestic cattle)
Lineage: Eukaryota; Metazoa; Chordata; Mammalia; Artiodactyla; Bovidae
Description: long non-coding RNA NONBTAT008341
Source: RNAcentral